AUUGAACGCUGGCGGCAGGCCUAACACAUGCAAGUCGAACGGUAACAGGAAGCAGCUUUCUGCUUCGCUGACGAGUGGCGGACGGGUGAGUAAUGUCUGGGAAGCUGCCGGAUGGAGGGGGAUAACUACUGGAAACGGUAGCUAAUACCGCAUAAUGUCGCAAGACCAAAGAGGGGGACCUUCGGGCCUCUUGCGAUCGGAUGUGCCCAGAUGGGAUUAGCUUGUUGGUGGGGUAACGGCUCACCAAGGCGACGAUCCCUAGCUGGUCUGAGAGGGUGACCAGCCACACUGGAACUGAGACACGGUCCAGACUCCUACGGGAGGCAGCAGUGGGGAAUAUUGGACAGUGGGCGCAAGCCUGAUGCAGCCAUGCCGCGUGUAUGAAGAAGGCCUUCGGGUUGUAAAGUACUUUCAGCGGGGAGGAAGGGAGUAAAGUUAAUACCUUUGCUCAUUGACGUUACCCGCAGAAGAAGCACCGGCUAACUCCGUG
Molecule: ribosomal RNA, 490 nt
Filed under: uncultured bacterium
Lineage: Bacteria
Description: partial 16S ribosomal RNA
Rfam family: Bacterial small subunit ribosomal RNA
Source: RNAcentral